This 2976-nucleotide ribosomal RNA is filed under the name Escherichia coli. RNAcentral's name for it is "bacterial LSU rRNA". It matches the Rfam family "Bacterial large subunit ribosomal RNA". Lineage: Bacteria; Pseudomonadati; Pseudomonadota; Gammaproteobacteria; Enterobacterales; Enterobacteriaceae. The record is from RNAcentral.
UUAAGCGACUAAGCGUACACGGUGGAUGCCCUGGCAGUCAGAGGCGAUGAAGGACGUGCUAAUCUGCGAUAAGCGUCGGUGAGGUGAUAUGAACCGUUAUAACCGGCGAUUUCCGAAUGGGGAAACCCAGUGUGUUUCGACACACUAUCAUUAACUGAAUCCAUAGGUUAAUGAGGCGAACCGGGGGAACUGAAACAUCUAAGUACCCCGAGGAAAAGAAAUCAACCGAGAUUCCCCCAGUAGCGGCGAGCGAACGGGGAGGAGCCCAGAGCCUGAAUCAGUGUGUGUGUUAGUGGAAGCGUCUGGAAAGGCGCGCGAUACAGGGUGACAGCCCCGUACACAAAAAUGCACAUAUUGUGAGCUCGAUGAGUAGGGCGGGACACGUGGUAUCCUGUCUGAAUAUGGGGGGACCAUCCUCCAAGGCUAAAUACUCCUGACUGACCGAUAGUGAACCAGUACCGUGAGGGAAAGGCGAAAAGAACCCCGGCGAGGGGAGUGAAAAAGAACCUGAAACCGUGUACGUACAAGCAGUGGGAGCCUCUUAAUGGGGUGACUGCGUACCUUUUGUAUAAUGGGUCAGCGACUUAUAUUCUGUAGCAAGGUUAACCGAAUAGGGGAGCCGAAGGGAAACCGAGUCUUAACUGGGCGUUAAGUUGCAGGGUAUAGACCCGAAACCCGGUGAUCUAGCCAUGGGCAGGUUGAAGGUUGGGUAACACUAACUGGAGGACCGAACCGACUAAUGUUGAAAAAUUAGCGGAUGACUUGUGGCUGGGGGUGAAAGGCCAAUCAAACCGGGAGAUAGCUGGUUCUCCCCGAAAGCUAUUUAGGUAGCGCCUCGUGAAUUCAUCUCCGGGGGUAGAGCACUGUUUCGGCAAGGGGGUCAUCCCGACUUACCAACCCGAUGCAAACUGCGAAUACCGGAGAAUGUUAUCACGGGAGACACACGGCGGGUGCUAACGUCCGUCGUGAAGAGGGAAACAACCCAGACCGCCAGCUAAGGUCCCAAAGUCAUGGUUAAGUGGGAAACGAUGUGGGAAGGCCCAGACAGCCAGGAUGUUGGCUUAGAAGCAGCCAUCAUUUAAAGAAAGCGUAAUAGCUCACUGGUCGAGUCGGCCUGCGCGGAAGAUGUAACGGGGCUAAACCAUGCACCGAAGCUGCGGCAGCGACACUAUGUGNNNNNNNNNNGCCUGCGCGGAAGAUGUAACGGGGCUAAACCAUGCACCGAAGCUGCGGCAGCGACGCUUAUGCGUUGUUGGGUAGGGGAGCGUUCUGUAAGCCUGUGAAGGUGGCCUGUGAGGGUUGCUGGAGGUAUCAGAAGUGCGAAUGCUGACAUAAGUAACGAUAAAGCGGGUGAAAAGCCCGCUCGCCGGAAGACCAAGGGUUCCUGUCCAACGUUAAUCGGGGCAGGGUGAGUCGACCCCUAAGGCGAGGCCGAAAGGCGUAGUCGAUGGGAAACAGGUUAAUAUUCCUGUACUUGGUGUUACUGCGAAGGGGGGACGGAGAAGGCUAUGUUGGCCGGGCGACGGUUGUCCCGGUUUAAGCGUGUAGGCUGGUUUUCCAGGCAAAUCCGGAAAACCAAGGCUGAGGCGUGAUGACGAGGCACUACGGUGCUGAAGCGACAAAUGCCCUGCUUCCAGGAAAAGCCUCUAAGCAUCAGGUAACAUCAAAUCGUACCCCAAACCGACACAGGUGGUCAGGUAGAGAAUACCAAGGCGCUUGAGAGAACUCGGGUGAAGGAACUAGGCAAAAUGGUGCCGUAACUUCGGGAGAAGGCACGCUGAUAUGUAGGUGAAGCGACUUGCUCGUGGAGCUGAAAUCAGUCGAAGAUACCAGCUGGCUGCAACUGUUUAUUAAAAACACAGCACUGUGCAAACACGAAAGUGGACGUAUACGGUGUGACGCCUGCCCGGUGCCGGAAGGUUAAUUGAUGGGGUUAGCGGCAACGCGAAGCUCUUGAUCGAAGCCCCGGUAAACGGCGGCCGUAACUAUAACGGUCCUAAGGUAGCGAAAUUCCUUGUCGGGUAAGUUCCGACCUGCACGAAUGGCGUAAUGAUGGCCAGGCUGUCUCCACCCGAGACUCAGUGAAAUUGAACUCGCUGUGAAGAUGCAGUGUACCCGCGGCAAGACGGAAAGACCCCGUGAACCUUUACUAUAGCUUGACACUGAACAUUGAGCCUUGAUGUGUAGGAUAGGUGGGAGGCUUUGAAGUGUGGACGCCAGUCUGCAUGGAGCCGACCUUGAAAUACCACCCUUUAAUGUUUGAUGUUCUAACGUUGGCCCGUAAUCCGGGUUGCGGACAGUGUCUGGUGGGUAGUUUGACUGGGGCGGUCUCCUCCUAAAGAGUAACGGAGGAGCACGAAGGUUGGCUAAUCCUGGUCGGACAUCAGGAGGUUAGUGCAAUGGCAUAAGCCAGCUUGACUGCGAGCGUGACGGCGCGAGCAGGUGCGAAAGCAGGUCAUAGUGAUCCGGUGGUUCUGAAUGGAAGGGCCAUCGCUCAACGGAUAAAAGGUACUCCGGGGAUAACAGGCUGAUACCGCCCAAGAGUUCAUAUCGACGGCGGUGUUUGGCACCUCGAUGUCGGCUCAUCACAUCCUGGGGCUGAAGUAGGUCCCAAGGGUAUGGCUGUUCGCCAUUUAAAGUGGUACGCGAGCUGGGUUUAGAACGUCGUGAGACAGUUCGGUCCCUAUCUGCCGUGGGCGCUGGAGAACUGAGGGGGGCUGCUCCUAGUACGAGAGGACCGGAGUGGACGCAUCACUGGUGUUCGGGUUGUCAUGCCAAUGGCACUGCCCGGUAGCUAAAUGCGGAAGAGAUAAGUGCUGAAAGCAUCUAAGCACGAAACUUGCCCCGAGAUGAGUUCUCCCUGAGACUUAGAGUCUCCUGAAGGAACGUUGAAGACGACGACGUUGAUAGGCCGGGUGUGUAAGCGCAGCGAUGCGUUGAGCUAACCGGUACUAAUGAACCGUGAGGCUUAACCUU